This 1374-nucleotide ribosomal RNA is filed under the name Mycolicibacterium poriferae. RNAcentral describes it as "bacterial SSU rRNA". It matches the Rfam family "Bacterial small subunit ribosomal RNA". The record is from RNAcentral. Lineage: Bacteria; Bacillati; Actinomycetota; Actinomycetes; Mycobacteriales; Mycobacteriaceae.
AACGGAAAGGCCCCUUCGGGGGUACUCGAGUGGCGAACGGGUGAGUAACACGUGGGUGAUCUGCCCUGCACUUUGGGAUAAGCCUGGGAAACUGGGUCUAAUACCGAAUAGGACUCCGGACUGCAUGGUCUGGGGUGGAAAGCUUUUGCGGUGUGGGAUGGGCCCGCGGCCUAUCAGCUUGUUGGUGGGGUGAUGGCCUACCAAGGCGACGACGGGUAGCCGGCCUGAGAGGGUGUCCGGCCACACUGGGACUGAGAUACGGCCCAGACUCCUACGGGAGGCAGCAGUGGGGAAUAUUGCACAAUGGGCGCAAGCCUGAUGCAGCGACGCCGCGUGAGGGAUGACGGCCUUCGGGUUGUAAACCUCUUUCGCCAGGGACGAAGCGCAAGUGACGGUACCUGGAGAAGAAGCACCGGCCAACUACGUGCCAGCAGCCGCGGUAAUACGUAGGGUGCGAGCGUUGUCCGGAAUUACUGGGCGUAAAGAGCUCGUAGGUGGUUUGUCGCGUUGUUCGUGAAAACUCACAGCUUAACUGUGGGCGUGCGGGCGAUACGGGCAGACUGGAGUACUGCAGGGGAGACUGGAAUUCCUGGUGUAGCGGUGGAAUGCGCAGAUAUCAGGAGGAACACCGGUGGCGAAGGCGGGUCUCUGGGCAGUAACUGACGCUGAGGAGCGAAAGCGUGGGGAGCGAACAGGAUUAGAUACCCUGGUAGUCCACGCCGUAAACGGUGGGUACUAGGUGUGGGUUUCCUUCCUUGGGAUCCGUGCCGUAGCUAACGCAUUAAGUACCCCGCCUGGGGAGUACGGCCGCAAGGCUAAAACUCAAAGGAAUUGACGGGGGCCCGCACAAGCGGCGGAGCAUGUGGAUUAAUUCGAUGCAACGCGAAGAACCUUACCUGGGUUUGACAUGCACAGGACGCCGGCAGAGAUGUCGGUUCCCUUGUGGCCUGUGUGCAGGUGGUGCAUGGCUGUCGUCAGCUCGUGUCGUGAGAUGUUGGGUUAAGUCCCGCAACGAGCGCAACCCUUGUCUCAUGUUGCCAGCACGUUAUGGUGGGGACUCGUGAGAGACUGCCGGGGUCAACUCGGAGGAAGGUGGGGAUGACGUCAAGUCAUCAUGCCCCUUAUGUCCAGGGCUUCACACAUGCUACAAUGGCCGGUACAAAGGGCUGCGAUGCCGUGAGGUGGAGCGAAUCCUUUCAAAGCCGGUCUCAGUUCGGAUCGGGGUCUGCAACUCGACCCCGUGAAGUCGGAGUCGCUAGUAAUCGCAGAUCAGCAACGCUGCGGUGAAUACGUUCCCGGGCCUUGUACACACCGCCCGUCACGUCAUGAAAGUCGGUAACACCCGAAGCCGGUGGCCUAACCCUUGUGGAGGGA